RNAcentral lists this transfer RNA (67 nucleotides) under Staphylinidae sp. BMNH 1274669. RNAcentral describes it as "tRNA-Asn". The record is from RNAcentral. Lineage: Eukaryota; Metazoa; Arthropoda; Insecta; Coleoptera; Staphylinidae.
UUAAUUGAAACCAAAAAAGCGGUAAAUCACUGUUAAUGAUUAAAAUGAGAAAUUAUCUCCAAUUAAA